Molecule: transfer RNA, 73 nt
Filed under: Danio rerio (zebrafish)
Lineage: Eukaryota; Metazoa; Chordata; Actinopteri; Cypriniformes; Danionidae
Rfam family: tRNA
About the family: Transfer RNA (tRNA) molecules are approximately 80 nucleotides in length. Their secondary structure includes four short double-helical elements and three loops (D, anti-codon, and T loops). Further hydrogen bonds mediate the characteristic L-shaped molecular structure. tRNAs have two regions of fundamental functional importance: the anti-codon, which is responsible for specific mRNA codon recognition, and the 3' end, to which the tRNAs corresponding amino acid is attached (by aminoacyl-tRNA synthetases). tRNAs cope with the degeneracy of the genetic code in two manners: having more than one tRNA (with a specific anti-codon) for a particular amino acid; and 'wobble' base-pairing, i.e. permitting non-standard base-pairing at the 3rd anti-codon position.
Source: Rfam by way of RNAcentral
GCCUAGCUAGCUCAUUCAGUAGAGCAUGAGACUCCUAAUCUCAGGGUCGUGGGUUCUAGCCCCAGCUUGGGCG